GGGGAUGUAGCUCAGCUGGUCAGAGCGCUGUGUUCACAUCGCAGAGGUCUAGGGUUCGAGCCCCUACAUCCCCACCA
RNAcentral lists this transfer RNA (77 nucleotides) under Clostridia bacterium. RNAcentral's name for it is "tRNA-Val". It matches the Rfam family "tRNA". Rfam says of the family: Transfer RNA (tRNA) molecules are approximately 80 nucleotides in length. The record is from RNAcentral. Lineage: Bacteria; Bacillati; Bacillota; Clostridia. RNAcentral also lists the same sequence under 1 other name.